This 302-nucleotide ribosomal RNA is filed under the name uncultured bacterium. Its description in RNAcentral is "partial 16S ribosomal RNA". It matches the Rfam family "Bacterial small subunit ribosomal RNA", at positions 508 to 807 of the family's 1533-position model. The record is from RNAcentral.
GCAGUAGCCACGGUAACACGAAGGGGGCUAGCGUUGUUCGGAAUUACUGGGCGUAAAGCGCACGUAGGCGGAUAUUUAAGUCAGGGGUGAAAUCCCAGGGCUCAACUCCGGAACUGCCUUUAAUACUGGGUAUCGUGAGUUCGAGAGAGGUAAGUGGAAUUCCGAGUGUAGAGGUGAAAUUCGUAGAUAUUCGGAGGAACACCAGUGGCGAAGGCGGCUUACUGGCUCGAUACUGACGCUGAGGUGCGAAAGCGUGGGGAGCAAACAGGAUUAGAUACCCCUGUAGUCCCUGUCUCUUAUAC